Molecule: ribosomal RNA, 751 nt
Filed under: Promicromonospora sp.
Lineage: Bacteria; Bacillati; Actinomycetota; Actinomycetes; Micrococcales; Promicromonosporaceae
Description: bacterial SSU rRNA
Rfam family: Bacterial small subunit ribosomal RNA
Source: RNAcentral
UGGGUGGAUCAGUGGCGAACGGGUGAGUAACACGUGAGCAACCUGCCCCCUACUUCGGGAUAAGCCUUGGAAACGAGGUCUAAUACCGGAUAUGAGCACCUGCCGCAUGGUGGGUGUUGGAAAGUUUUUCGGUGGGGGAUGGGCUCGCGGCCUAUCAGCUUGUUGGUGGGGUAAUGGCCUACCAAGGCGUCGACGGGUAGCCGGCCUGAGAGGGCGACCGGCCACACUGGGACUGAGACACGGCCCAGACUCCUACGGGAGGCAGCAGUGGGGAAUAUUGCACAAUGGGCGAAAGCCUGAUGCAGCGACGCCACGUGAGGGAUGACGGCCUUCGGGUUGUAAACCUCUUUCAGCAGGGAAGAAGCGAAAGUGACGGUACCUGCAGAAGAAGCGCCGGCUAACUACGUGCCAGCAGCCGCGGUAAUACGUAGGGCGCAAGCGUUGUCCGGAAUUAUUGGGCGUAAAGAGCUCGUAGGCGGUCUGUCGCGUCUGGUGUGAAAUCCCAUGGCUCAACUGUGGGCUUGCAUCGGGUACGGGCAGACUAGAGUGCUGUAGGGGAGACUGGAAUUCCUGGUGUAGCGGUGGAAUGCGCAGAUAUCAGGAGGAACACCGAUGGCGAAGGCAGGUCUCUGGGCAGUUACUGACGCUGAGGAGCGAAAGCAUGGGGAGCGAACAGGAUUAGAUACCCUGGUAGUCCAUGCCGUAAACGUUGGGCACUAGGUGUGGGGCGGGUUCCACUCGUUCUGUGCCG